AAUUUCUGGUACGAUGCACCUGGUCCGUUCGGGCAACCGCACGUGUACUGGAGAGCAUCUGCCAUCCUUCUAGUUAUUAGCUGUACUUUACUGUGCGGUUAGUACUCUAGAUCAUUUACUUUGAAAAAAUUAGAGUGUUUAAAGCAGGCUUGCGCUAUGAAUACAUUAGCAUGGAAUAAUAAUUUAGGACUUUGCUCCUAUUUUAUUGGUUUCUAGGGGUGAAGUAAUGAUUGAUAGGGAUAGUUGGGGGUGCUAGUAUUCAUCGGCCAGAGGUGAAAUUCUUGGAUUCGAUGAAGACUAACUUAUGCGAAAGCAUU
RNAcentral lists this ribosomal RNA (317 nucleotides) under uncultured Paracercomonas. Its description in RNAcentral is "SSU rRNA". It matches the Rfam family "Eukaryotic small subunit ribosomal RNA", at positions 637 to 955 of the family's 1831-position model. The record is from RNAcentral. Lineage: Eukaryota; Cercozoa; Cercomonadida; Cercomonadidae.